This 301-nucleotide ribosomal RNA is filed under the name uncultured bacterium. RNAcentral's name for it is "partial 16S ribosomal RNA". It matches the Rfam family "Bacterial small subunit ribosomal RNA", at positions 509 to 807 of the family's 1533-position model. The record is from RNAcentral.
CAGUCGCCGCGGUAACACGGAGGAUCCAAGCGUUAUCCGGAAUCAUUGGGUUUAAAGGGUCCGUAGGCGGUCUUGUAAGUCAGUGGUGAAAGCCCAUCGCUCAACGGUGGAACGGCCAUUGAUACUGCAGGACUUGAAUUAUUGGGAAGUAACUAGAAUAUGUAGUGUAGCGGUGAAAUGCUUAGAGAUUACAUGGAAUACCAAUUGCGAAGGCAGGUUACUACCAAUUGAUUGACGCUGAUGGACGAAAGCGUGGGUAGCGAACAGGAUUAGAUACCCCAGUAGUCCCUGUCUCUUAUAC